UACGUAGGUGGCAAGCGUUGUCCGGAUUUAUUGGGUUUAAAGGGUGCGUAGGCGGCAUUUUAAGUCAGUGGUGAAAUACUUCAGCUUAACUGGAGAGGUGCCAUUGAUACUGGGAUGCUUGAGUACUGAUGAGGUAGGCGGAAUGGACGGUGUAGCGGUGAAAUGCGCAGAUAUCGGGAGGAACACCAGUAGCGAAGGCGACACUCUGGGCCGGUACUGACGCUGAGGAGCGAAAGCGUGGGGAGCAAACAGG
This 253-nucleotide ribosomal RNA is filed under the name uncultured bacterium. RNAcentral's name for it is "partial 16S ribosomal RNA". It matches the Rfam family "Bacterial small subunit ribosomal RNA", at positions 524 to 776 of the family's 1533-position model. The record is from RNAcentral.